Molecule: transfer RNA, 90 nt
Filed under: Candidatus Eiseniibacteriota bacterium
Lineage: Bacteria; Candidatus Eiseniibacteriota
Description: tRNA-Ser
Rfam family: tRNA
About the family: Transfer RNA (tRNA) molecules are approximately 80 nucleotides in length.
Source: RNAcentral
GGAGAGAUGUCCGAGUGGUCGAAGGAGCACGCCUGGAGAGCGUGUAAGGGUGUAAGCCCUUCCAGGGUUCGAAUCCCUGUCUCUCCGCCA